ACGCUGGCGGCGUGCCUAAUACAUGCAAGUAGAACGCUGAAGAGAGGAGCUUGCUCUUCUUGAAUGAGUUGCGAACGGGUGAGUAACGCGUAGGUAACCUGCCUUGUAGCGGGGGAUAACUAUUGGAAACGAUAGCUAAUACCGCAUAACAGUGGGUGACACAUGUCAUUUAUUUGAAAGGGGCAAUUGCUCCACUACAAGAUGGACCUGCGUUGUAUUAGCUAGUAGGUGAGGUAACGGCUCACCUAGGCGACGAUACAUAGCCGACCUGAGAGGGUGAUCGGCCACACUGGGACUGAGACACGGCCCAGACUCCUACGGGAGGCAGCAGUAGGGAAUCUUCGGCAAUGGGGGCAACCCUGACCGAGCAACGCCGCGUGAGUGAAGAAGGUUUUCGGAUCGUAAAGCUCUGUUGUAAGUCAAGAACGAGUGUGAGAGUGGAAAGUUCACACUGUGACGGUAGCUCACCAGAAAGGGACGGCUAACUACGUGCCAGCAGCCGCGGUAAUACGUAGGUCCCGAGCGUUGUCCGGAUUUAUUGGGCGUAAAGCGAGCGCAGGCGGUUUGAUAAGUCUGAAGUUAAAGGCUGUGGCUCAACCAUAGUUCGCUUUGGAAACUGUCAAACUUGAGUGCAGAAGGGGAGAGUGGAAUUCCAUGUGUAGCGGUGAAAUGCGUAGAUAUAUGGAGGAACACCGGUGGCGAAAGCGGCUCUCUGGUCUGUAACUGACGCUGAGGCUCGAAAGCGUGGGGAGCGAACAGGAUUAGAUACCCUGGUAGUCCACGCCGUAAACGAUGAGUGCUAGGUGUUGGAUCCUUUCCGGGAUUCAGUGCCGCAGCUAACGCAUUAAGCACUCCGCCUGGGGAGUACGACCGCAAGGUUGAAACUCAAAGGAAUUGACGGGGGCCCGCAC
RNAcentral lists this ribosomal RNA (911 nucleotides) under uncultured bacterium. RNAcentral describes it as "bacterial SSU rRNA". It matches the Rfam family "Bacterial small subunit ribosomal RNA", at positions 33 to 926 of the family's 1533-position model. The record is from RNAcentral.